AGAACAUUUCAAAGAAUGCUUGUGGGGCCGUGAAACCAAGAGCUGUUAAUUCUAUAGCCAAGGACUGAAGUACUUACUCUAUAUGA
This 86-nucleotide small nucleolar RNA is filed under the name Jaculus jaculus (lesser Egyptian jerboa). RNAcentral's name for it is "Small nucleolar RNA SNORA25 (ENSJJAG00000007266.1)". Lineage: Eukaryota; Metazoa; Chordata; Mammalia; Rodentia; Dipodidae. The record is from RNAcentral.